Molecule: transfer RNA, 72 nt
Filed under: Gordonia phage OneUp
Lineage: Duplodnaviria; Heunggongvirae; Uroviricota; Caudoviricetes
Description: tRNA-OTHER
Source: RNAcentral
UCCCCGAAUGCUCGAGGGCUUGAGCGCUGCUGACGAGCAGAGUGUCGUGGGUUCGAAUCCCACACGGGGAGC